UCUAAGACAUCAUCUUCCUAUUGUGUGUUCAUUCCGCCCACAGCUGCAGUGGGAACCUGGCUACACCAGAGCUCAGGAAGACAACUGAGGCAUUACCUUUUCCAGGGGCUGCAGGGUACUGAGCACCUCCCUACCUCUGCUGACGCUAUGGACCUCACUCUCAACUUCUGGGCUUAGAGGGGCCACAGUCACCUCAGGGACACCCUUGUUCUCCCAGGGUCCUGCAAAGCAAAUGGCGCAUCAGGUCUAGGACUUCCGCUUUUUGUCCAGGACCCUUCCUUCCGUUAACAGGAUCCUCUGAUUGACAUGUGGACACUUGGAGAGAGAUGCUUCCUCUUUCUCUAGAGUCACCAGUGGUGAGACCACCCGGUCCCGUGGAAGCAUCUGCACACUCACCGCCUGCAAACUGACACCUCUCGCCUGGGCUUUGACUCAUGCAUCCGCUGCCUGCUGCACUCCC
This is a non-coding RNA of Microcebus murinus (gray mouse lemur), 460 nucleotides long. Lineage: Eukaryota; Metazoa; Chordata; Mammalia; Primates; Cheirogaleidae. The record is from RefSeq and is a predicted model, not a curated record.